This 388-nucleotide ribosomal RNA is filed under the name Syndiniales sp. RNAcentral describes it as "partial small subunit ribosomal RNA". It matches the Rfam family "Eukaryotic small subunit ribosomal RNA", at positions 582 to 975 of the family's 1831-position model. Lineage: Eukaryota; Dinophyceae; Syndiniales. The record is from RNAcentral.
AUUCCAGCUCCAAUAGCGUAUGUUAAAGUUGUUGCGGCUAAAAAGCUCGUAGUUGGAUUUCUGUUGAGGACGGCUGGUCCGCUCUAUGAGCGUGCAUCUAGUUUGGCCUCGGCAUCCGCUCUGCAUACGUUCUGCGCUUGAUUGCGUGGUUCGGAGGUAGGGCCUUUUACUUUGAGGAAAUUAGAGUGUUCACGGCAGGCAAUCGCCUUGAAUAUAUUAGCAUGGAAUAAUAACAUAGGAUCUUGGUUCUAUUUUGUUGGUUUCUAGGGCUAAGAUAAUGAUUAAUAGGGACAAUUGGGGGCAUUCGUAUCGCGGUGUCUGAGGUGGAAUUCUUGGAUUACUGCGCGACGAACUACUGCGAAAGCAUUUGCCAAGGAUGUUUUCAUCA